Felis catus (domestic cat) is the source of this 880-nucleotide long non-coding RNA. RefSeq lists it as uncharacterized. The transcript has 2 exons. The record is from RefSeq and is a predicted model, not a curated record. NCBI's taxonomy places the organism in Eukaryota, Metazoa, Chordata, Mammalia, Carnivora, Felidae.
UCGGCCGCGGCGUCCUCGGGGUUUACCUCUCAUUAGAGCUUUCCGUAGCGGCUCUCACCCCGCGGACAGCCUCGGGGAUCCCAGAGAGUCCCUCAGGGGUUCAGGCCGGAAGGCGAACUCGGGUGUCCAGAAGUGACUGGCGCCCGCCCCGCGGGACCUGCUGGGACCUCUCACACGAGAGGCUUUAUCGGGCACUCAAAGACAAAGCCUGAUCAGCACAAUCCCCUGUGGGACACACUCAGCCCUUCUGGGAGACCACAUCCUUCCUGGGGUUGUUGCACCUAGAGCCUCGUGAGACCUAACAAUAACCAUGACCUUCAAAGUACCCCUCAAGCUAAACAUCACCCUUAUUCUAAACAUAGCCUACAACUGACCCGCACCCUCGCAGGGACCCUCACUUCAGCCCUCCAGGGAGAUCACGGGACUGCUGUCACUUCGGCCCUGCUUAAGUCCCUGGACGGAACCCGAACUCCAUUUUAGGCUGUCUCCUCAUGGUGACCCAAUACUUACUUCUGUGCAAACCACACACGUGGGGUUCAGAAGAGGAGCCGGAUUCCUCGGCAUGGAACGUGGAACAUGACCAGUCUGAGGAUACCACACAUAUGGAGUCCAGAGGAGGAGGAGUAUUACUCGGCGUGGAAUGUGGAAUAUCACCAUGUAAUAUCCAAAGCCCAGAUGUUGCUGCAGAAGUGGUUGCUGAGGCUCAAUCAAAGAAUGGCCCACGAUGGAGGCUUGCCCUGGCAAACAAAGACUAAGCAUGAUGGACAACCUGCAAUAUGCCCUUCACUGAGCCCUCCGGGAAGCUCACUGCAUUGCUGUUGGUUUAUUGCUUGGAGCCACCUAGGACUUAACCCCAAACCCAAUAAUGAACAUAACUAUA